CCCGCCGCCAGGUGCCGCUGCGCGCCGGGGCUGCGGCGCCGUCUCAGAGCGUGGGGGCCGGCGCUGUGAGCGGAGCGGAGCGGAGCGGAGCGGUGGCGGCGGGCCACCGGAAGCCGGAGCGGGGCCGGCUCCCGGGGAUUCGAGUAAGUGCCAGUAGUUGUAUGACAUUGACACAGUUCCCAGCAAAGGAUUUAUUGGCAAAAGACCCUUUAAGAAGGCAAAAGUCGUUAUCUGUGUUUUAUGGAUAAGAGCUAUCAUCUACAAAUGCAGGAGGCCCAGAUUCCUUCAAAUCAGGGUAUCAGGAUGGAAAAAACAUUUGUGUGAGACUGAGAUACUACAGUAAGGUCAACUACAGAUGCCAUAGAAACAAAUAUAGUCUGCUUUUCUUUGCCCACUGGUAUAAAUAAGAACAUGUAGAUCUGAGCAUAUUUUGGAUAUUCACAUUCUUUUAUCUCAUGCAGACUAGGAUGUACAUUAUUUUUUCUCAUAGCUGUAAACAUUUGCACUGUAAUGCUGGAAAAACUGUCAAAGUCGCGGCAGCCUGUCUUAAAGUUUCAUGCAAAGUUAUGCUUCCCUGUAACCUCUGUAUUUAUUUAUUUUUCAUCUGUAUGUACUAAAUUAAAUUUCAGCAAGGAUCCUUUGAAGUCCAUCUCAUAUAUAAAAUUUAAUGGGUGCUAGUUUCUGUCAUUAUAAGAAUGUAGCAAGUAGGCUGUUACAUUGAAACCUCCUUUUAAGCUUCCAUUACCAUAAAAGGUCAUCUUCUUUGUAUCAUAAAUAUUUGUAACUUGUGGUCAUAACUACCAGCCUCAAGUCUUGGAAUGGUACCAUCUUAAGGAUAACUAAGGUGUAAUAAACUUAAAUAAUUCAUAA
This is a long non-coding RNA of Dromaius novaehollandiae (emu), 870 nucleotides long. RefSeq lists it as uncharacterized. NCBI's taxonomy places the organism in Eukaryota, Metazoa, Chordata, Aves, Casuariiformes, Dromaiidae. The transcript has 3 exons. The record is from RefSeq and is a predicted model, not a curated record.